Gallus gallus (chicken) is the source of this 1200-nucleotide long non-coding RNA. Lineage: Eukaryota; Metazoa; Chordata; Aves; Galliformes; Phasianidae. The record is from Ensembl.
UUUACUUUGCAGAUGAGCCAAAAUGGUCAGCGAGUGCAAUUGGGUCGUGGUUGCUGAUCCCUAGGCAACCAAUGCUCCUGGACAAGCAGUGAAUUCAUCUUUACCUAUCCCCAUGAGAUCUGGACAAGUGCAAUAAUUUUUCUGAGUGCUGUGGAAAUUAUUGCCUGUAGCUUUGAGAAAGUACUAACAGUGUCUCAGUCUUGGUUGUGCUGAAGGUGGCAGCUGCCUUGCCACGAGACAGUGCUUAUCUUCUAAUUAAUGCCUCCCUGUUGGUGCACGCAGGGAAAUCAUACAGGAGCUGUUGCCUCUCAUUACAAAAAUGAUGCCCUACGAGUUUGGUGGAAAGCAACACCUAGCCUGCCAGCUGGGACCCAGCCUAUUGAGAAGCUCGGUGUCUGAGACAGUUCCUCCUUCCCACUACUGAUGGGCAGUUGGACAUGCACCUUGGCUGUGAACUGGUGCAGAGCUGGGUCCGCUGCCUACUGAAGUCACUUGAAGCUGGGGCACCGCUUCUGAUGUCACCUGCUUCAGCAAGGUCACCGUGACAGCAUGGCAUAAGGGGCUGUGCCAGCACAAGCUGUCCCUGCUUCAGGAAUUCGGCUUUCCCAGUCCACCACGUCACCCUUAGAAACCAGCUCACCUGCAGAACAGCCACUGCUACCCUCAUCUUGGGCUGGCACAAAGCACAGCACAGGCAGGACUGCUGUCCCCUGAGGACCUCCAAUAAACACCAAACAAAACAAUUUUUCUAGGAGGAGAAUGGGAGGUUUGACCCUCCAUCAAAAUAAGGCAAUAUAUAUAUUUUUUUCAUCCUGUUAUCAAUGAAAUAGUUACCACUAGUUAUUUCUAUUCACUCUUUCUUCCCUCUCCAUAUCAUCAUCUAGUUGCUAUUUUUCUUUAAUGCAUCCGUACAACUAAUCACCAGUUUUUUACACCCACAUUUUACCACCACCCUUUUAACACACAUCCCAGCAUUGAAUUACUUGAGUUCAGCAGAAAGUUGGCUCAGUCCUUCUGAAAAACAACAUGCCUUUCAACCUGUUCAGCAGGAAGCCUACCUCCACUCCUUAGUCCAUUCCAGAGAGGAAAGGGGUGGUGAAUAAUUCAUUAAAAUAUUCCUUCUCCUUCCACCAACACACCAAUUCACAAGAGAGAAAUAUCUCCUUCUACCUGUCUGUAUGUGCUUGUUCCUCAUCUCAG